Molecule: ribosomal RNA, 368 nt
Filed under: uncultured eukaryote
Lineage: Eukaryota
Description: partial 18S ribosomal RNA
Rfam family: Eukaryotic small subunit ribosomal RNA
Source: RNAcentral
CAAUAGCGUAUAUAAACGUUGUUGCAGUUAAAAAGCUCGUAGUUGAAAUUCUUUCGUGGGUCAGAGCCACUGCAUUCGCAGGGCCUGGGUUACGGAUUUCUGGUUGUUGCACCUUGGCGGCGCAAGUCGCCUUGGGAAUCGGCCUCAUUUACUGUGAAAAAAUUAGAGUGUUCAAAGCAGGCGUUGGCUUGCAUCCACUAGCAUGGAAUGAUAAGAUAGGACCGGUGUGCUAUUUUGUUGGUUGCGGCCAUUGGUAAUGAUUAAUAGGAACGGUUAGGGGCGUCUGUAUUUGAGUGUCAGAGGUGAAAUUCUUAGAUUGCUCAAAGACAAACUACUGCGAAAGCAUUCGCCAAGGACGUUUUCAUUAA